UACAGGGGGGGCAAGCGUUGUUCGGAAUUACUGGGCGUAAAGGGCUCGUAGGCGGCCAACUAAGUCAGACGUGAAAUCCCUCGGCUUAACCGGGGAACUGCGUCUGAUACUGGAUGGCUUGAGUUUGGGAGAGGGAUGCGGAAUUCCAGGUGUAGCGGUGAAAUGCGUAGAUAUCUGGAGGAACACCGGUGGCGAAGGCGGCAUCCUGGACCAACACUGACGCUGAGGAGCGAAAGCCAGGGGAGCAAACGGG
This 253-nucleotide ribosomal RNA is filed under the name uncultured bacterium. RNAcentral describes it as "partial 16S ribosomal RNA". It matches the Rfam family "Bacterial small subunit ribosomal RNA", at positions 524 to 776 of the family's 1533-position model. The record is from RNAcentral.